Molecule: ribosomal RNA, 392 nt
Filed under: uncultured eukaryote
Lineage: Eukaryota
Description: partial 18S ribosomal RNA
Rfam family: Eukaryotic small subunit ribosomal RNA
Source: RNAcentral
CAAUAGCGUAUACUAAUGUUGUUGCAGUUAAAAAGCUCGUAGUUGGAUUUCUGGCUGUUUGUGCGCGUCGCCCAGGUGGAAUGCCAUUGUGCUUUCAUCGUGCGUGCUGAUGCGCACCAGCCAUCCUUCUGGUAUAUGUUUCUUCGGAUUCAUAUAUUCCAGAUCUAUUACUUUGAAGAAAUUAGAGUGUUCAAGGCAGGCAAUCGCUGUUGAAUACAUUAGCAUGGAAUAAUAAUAUAGGACUUGUGUUCUAUUUUGUUGGUUUCUAGGACUGCAAGUAAUGAUUGAUAGGGACAGUUGGGGGUGCUCGUAUUCCGUGGCCAGUGGUGAAAUACGAUGAUUCACGGAAGACGAACUAAUGCGAAAGCAUUCACCAAGGAUGUCUUCUUUAA